CCCUGGUCCUGCAAAGUAGAAGUGGGCAAGAGGAGGAAGGCUUUGGAGCAACUGCGAGCAACAGGAGUGAAGACUCUGCAAGCUCAUCAGGAGGCCAAAGAUGCAAGUCGCAGAAGAUGGCGGGGAAGGCGAGGGAGCCUGGACACUGGCACUUCUCUGAAGAAGUGGGCAAGAGGAGGAAGGCUUUGGAGAAACUGCAAGCAACAGGAGUGAAGGCUCUGCAAGCUCAUCAGGAGGCCAAAGAUGCAAGUUGCAGAAGAUGGCGGGGAAGGCGAGGGAGCCUGGACACUGGCACUUCUCUGAAGAAGUGGGCAAGAGGAGGAAGGCUUUGGAGCAACUGCAAGCAACAGGAGUGAAGACUCUGCAAGCUCAUCAGGAGGCCAAAGAUGCAAGUCGCAGAAGAUGGCGGGGAAGGCGAGGGAGCCUGGACACUGGCACUUCUCUGAAGAAGUGGGCAAGAGGAGGAAGGCUUUGGAGCAACUGCAAGCAACAGGAGUGAAGACUCUGCAAGCUCAUCAGGAGGCCAAAGAUGCAAGUUGCAGAAGAUGGCGGGGAAGGCGAGGGAGCCUGGACACUGGCACUUCUCUGAAGAAGUGGGCAAGAGGAGGAAGGCUUUGGAGCAACUGCAAGCAACAGGAGUGAAGACUCUGCAAGCUCAUCAGGAGGCCAAAGAUGCAAGUUGCAGAAGAUGGCGGGGAAGGCGAGGGAGCCUGGA
Long non-coding RNA from Dromaius novaehollandiae (emu), 715 nucleotides. RefSeq lists it as uncharacterized. The record is from RefSeq and is a predicted model, not a curated record. NCBI's taxonomy places the organism in Eukaryota, Metazoa, Chordata, Aves, Casuariiformes, Dromaiidae. The transcript has 5 exons.